This 67-nucleotide transfer RNA is filed under the name Nodopelta heminoda. Its description in RNAcentral is "tRNA-Trp". The record is from RNAcentral. Lineage: Eukaryota; Metazoa; Mollusca; Gastropoda; Neomphalida; Peltospiridae.
AAGAUUUUAAGUUAAAAAAACUAAUAGCCUUCAAAGCUUUAAAUAAAAUAAGAUAUUUUAAAUCUUG